This 465-nucleotide unclassified non-coding RNA is filed under the name Hevea brasiliensis (rubber tree). Lineage: Eukaryota; Viridiplantae; Streptophyta; Magnoliopsida; Malpighiales; Euphorbiaceae. The record is from RNAcentral.
GCGCCGUUGAAUUCACUCCCCCAUCAGCCAACUCGCCGCCGAUCUCGCUCCUCCUGUCCAUGGCCUCCGCCACUGCCAGCCGAUGGCUCAGACCCGAGGCCUAUCCGAUCUUCGCGGCGACGGGAGUCGCGAUAGGCUUCUGCGCCUUCUCGCUCGUUCGCCACAUGUGCAUCAACCCCGAAGUCAGAAUCAUCAAGGAACACAGGGCCGCAGGUGUCUUGGAAAACUUUGCUGAGGGGGAGAAGUACAAAGAAAACUUUCUCAGGAAGUAUGUGCGAGGCAGAGCACCGGAGAUCAUGCCGUCUCUCAACAAGUUUUUCACUGAUCCGAAGUGAUCCUUUUCAGUUGUGAAGCAACUGCAUGUUAUUCCGCUGUUCUAUGCGGGGAUUAUAUUGUGUGCCCAGCAUUUUCAGAAACAUUCGUGGUUAGGAUAAAAAAUGGCUGUUCUGAACCCCAGUGUUAAGC